GAUGAAGAACGCAGUGAAAUGCGAUAAGUAAUGUGAAUUGCAGAAUUCAGUGAAUCAUCGAAUCUUUGAACGCACAUUGCGCCCCUUGGUAUUCCGAGGGGCAUGCCUGUUCGAGCGUCAUUACACCACUCAAGCUAUGCUUGGUAUUGGGCGUCGUCCCUAGUUGGGCGCGCCUUAAAGACCUCGGCGAGGCCACUCCGGCUUUAGGCGUAGUAGAAUUUAUUCGAACGUCUGUCAAAGGAGAGGAACUCUGCCGACUGAAACCUUUAUUUUUCUAGGUUGACCUCGGAUCAGGUAGGGAUACCCGCUGAACUUAAGCAUAUCAAUAAGCGGAGGA
Molecule: unclassified non-coding RNA, 337 nt
Filed under: soil metagenome
Description: partial contains 5.8S ribosomal RNA, internal transcribed spacer 2, and large subunit ribosomal RNA
Rfam family: 5.8S ribosomal RNA (bases 1-120)
Source: RNAcentral